This 406-nucleotide ribosomal RNA is filed under the name uncultured bacterium. RNAcentral's name for it is "partial 16S ribosomal RNA". It matches the Rfam family "Bacterial small subunit ribosomal RNA", at positions 30 to 526 of the family's 1533-position model. The record is from RNAcentral.
AUUGAACGCUGGCGGCAGGCCUAACACAUGCAAGUCGAACGAGUGGCGGACGGGUGAGUCAUGUCUGGGAAACUGCCUGCUGGAGGGGGAUAACUACUGGAAACGGUAGCUAAUACCGCAUACCAUCAGAUGUGCCCAGAUGGUAUUAGCUUGUUGGUGGGGUAACGGCUAACCAAGGCGACGAUCCCUAGCUGGUCUGAGAGGAUGACCAGCCACACUGGAAAUGCGACAGGGGCCAGACUACUACGGGAGGCAGAAGUGGGGAAUAUUGCACAAUGGGCGCAAGCCUGAUGCAGCCAUGCCGCGUGUAUGAAGAAGGCCUUCGGGUUGUAAAGUACUUUCAGCGGGGAGGCGUUACCCGCAGAAGAAGCACCGGCUAACUCCGUGCCAGCAGCCGCGGUAAUAC